ACCGGGGACGUUUCCGGAAUUAAUUGGGCGUAAGCGAGCGCAGGCGGUUGCUUAGGUCUGAUGUGAAAGCCUUCGGCUUAACCGAAGAAGUGCAUCGGAAACCGGGCGACUUGAGUGCAGAAGAGGACAGUGGAACUCCAUGUGUAGCGGUGGAAUGCGUAGAUAUAUGGAAGAACACCAGUGGCGAAGGCGGCUGUCUGGUCUGCAACUGACGCUGAGGCUCGAAAGCAUGGGUAGCGAACAGGAUUAGAUACCCUGGUAGUCCAUGCCGUAAACGAUGAGUGCUAGGUGUUGGAGGGUUUCCGCCCUUCAGUGCCGGAGCUAACGCAUUAAGCACUCCGCCUGGGGAGUACGACCGCAAGGUUGAAACUCAAAGGAAUUGACGGGGGCCCGCACAAGCGGUGGAGCAUGUGGUUUAAUUCGAAGCUACGCGAAGAACCUUACCAGGUCUUGACAUCUUGCGCUAACCUUAGAGAUAAGGCGUUCCCUUCGGGGACGCAAUGACAGGUGGUGCAUGGUCGUCGUCAGCUCGUGUCGUGAGAUGUUGGGUUAAGUCCCGCAACGAGCGCAACCCUUGUUACUAGUUGCCAGCAUUAAGUUGGGCACUCUAGUGAGACUGCCGGUGACAAACCGGAGGAAGGUGGGGACGACGUCAGAUCAUCAUGCCCCUUAUGACCUGGGCUACACACGUGCUACAAUGGACGGUACAACGAGUCGCAAACUCGCGAGAGUAAGCUAAUCUCUUAAAGCCGUUCUCAGUUCGGACUGUAGGCUGCAACUCGCCUACACGAAGUCGGAAUCGCUAGUAAUCGCGGAUCAGCAUGCCGCGGUGAAUACGUUCCCGGGCCUUGUACACACCGCCCGUCACACCACGAGAGUUUGUAACGCCCAAACUCGGUGGCCUACCCUCUAUGGUUGGAGCCGCCUAAUGCGGGACAGAUGACUGGGGUGAGUCUUACCGGGGAGGGGGAAAAAAAAA
This 979-nucleotide ribosomal RNA is filed under the name Limosilactobacillus reuteri. Its description in RNAcentral is "bacterial SSU rRNA". It matches the Rfam family "Bacterial small subunit ribosomal RNA", at positions 531 to 1511 of the family's 1533-position model. Lineage: Bacteria; Bacillati; Bacillota; Bacilli; Lactobacillales; Lactobacillaceae. The record is from RNAcentral.